GUCCUGCGGAGGGAUCAUUA
RNAcentral lists this ribosomal RNA (20 nucleotides) under Colletotrichum sp. Co-08-Cha. RNAcentral's name for it is "partial 18S ribosomal RNA". Lineage: Eukaryota; Fungi; Ascomycota; Sordariomycetes; Glomerellales; Glomerellaceae. The record is from RNAcentral.